ACGCCCGUAGGCCGUGGCCGGGUGCGCGCCCCGAAGGGGCGCGGGGCUGUGUCGAUGUGCGGCUCCGCCGCGUGGGCGCG
Molecule: transfer RNA, 80 nt
Filed under: Streptomyces antimycoticus
Lineage: Bacteria; Bacillati; Actinomycetota; Actinomycetes; Kitasatosporales; Streptomycetaceae
Description: tRNA-Phe
Source: RNAcentral